This is a long non-coding RNA of Drosophila pseudoobscura, 1240 nucleotides long. RefSeq lists it as uncharacterized. The transcript is spliced from 2 exons. Lineage: Eukaryota; Metazoa; Arthropoda; Insecta; Diptera; Drosophilidae. The record is from RefSeq and is a predicted model, not a curated record.
ACCAAAGUAAUUAAAGUCGAUGAAUUGUAUAAGUAGGCAGUUCAUUUUCCUGUGUACCGGGAUUGCAAGGGCUGGAUAAUUUAAAUUUCAGGAACGACUAAUUAACAAAACAUGCCUACGCCAAUUCUUGGUAAAUCGUAUUGGCAAAUCGAAUCAUAUCUUACAAGUACCAUAUAGCUCUCUACAACCAGGUUCAAAAUGGUACACUUGUAGAUACAUAUUUACUGUCUGCGCAAUUUUAACUACUAUAUAAUUUAACAAUACAAAGUACAGCGUUUUCAUUCUUGAGUAUGACAAAGUGAAAGUAGUUAAAGGCGAAUUUAAUUAUGAAGUCGUUGCCACUGGAUUAUUUAGUAGACGAACAAUGCACUCAACUGGAAAUAGAUUGUAAGUACAUUGUAAUACAAUACUUCCAAUGGCCAUGUUAAUGAACUUCAAAGCGUAUUGCUUAAUGUUAAUGAACUGCUGAAUGCAAAUCAAUAGGCCGUUGAUUGAACUUGCUUUAUAAAAUAUCUGUAUAUCAUUUUUACAGAAGCAAUCAAGUGACAGUGAUUCAUUGGUUCAAUUGCACGCAAUGGCUCAGUCGGCAAAAGAAGAUUGACCAAGAAAAGUGUAGCUUCUUUACAAAUCAGGAUCACAUCAUCCGCCAACAACUUGCAACAACUUAAGUAGCUGGAACCGAUUUAUCAUUUGUCGUGUAACUGAUGAUAUUGCGAAGAUGCCUCCUUUUGUUGAAUAGUAUAAGCCCGGGACAUUUUUCAACAUGUAUGCAUAUUCUUUGUAAAUACUCGCAUUUAUUCAUAUACUAUAUAAAUAUAUGUCUUUACUAAAAUUUUAUGAAAGUUUAUAUUUAUUUCUAUCACAUAGUCGUAUGUCUUAAGCAUAUAUGUAAGUAAAUACGUAAACACUAUUUUGAUGAACUUAUGUAUUUGGGGCAGUGAAACUUGGUGUAAACUGUGAAAGUACCUAUCUAUACUUAAUAUUUACUUUAGCAUGUACAGCUAUUGCUUUAUGCACGAUAACUACGGCAGUCGUUGUUAGAAUUGGUAAAAUGAGAGUAAUAAACAGAGUACAGAACACACAAUAUUGGGGUUCCCUAUAAAUAAUUAAAUACAUAUAUGAUUUUAAAUAGUAAUGAGAGAGGAUAAUUUUCUGCUAAGUUCUAAGUACUAAGGAGCGCUUUAAAUCUAAAAGGAUAUCUAAGGAUAAUCACUACGAUACAUGCGGUUAGAUUAGAUGA